AGUGAACGCUGGCGGUAGGCCUAACACAUGCAAGUCGAACGGCAGCACAGUAAGAGCUUGCUCUUACGGGUGGCGAGUGGCGGACGGGUGAGGAAUACAUCGGAAUCUACUUUUUCGUGGGGGAUAACGUAGGGAAACUUACGCUAAUACCGCAUACGACCUACGGGUGAAAGCAGGGGAUCUUCGGACCUUGCGCGAUUGAAUGAGCCGAUGUCGGAUUAGCUAGUUGGCGGGGUAAAGGCCCACCAAGGCGACGAUCCGUAGCUGGUCUGAGAGGAUGAUCAGCCACACUGGAACUGAGACACGGUCCAGACUCCGACGGGAGGCAGCAGUGGGGAAUAUUGGACAAUGGGCGCAAGCCUGAUCCAGCCAUACCGCGUGGGUGAAGAAGGCCUUCGGGUGGGAAAGCCCUUUUGUUGGGAAAGAAAAGCAGCAGGUUAAGACCCCGCUGUUCUGACGGUACCCAAAGAAUAAGCACCGGCUAACUUCGU
This 491-nucleotide ribosomal RNA is filed under the name uncultured bacterium. Its description in RNAcentral is "partial 16S ribosomal RNA". It matches the Rfam family "Bacterial small subunit ribosomal RNA", at positions 29 to 506 of the family's 1533-position model. The record is from RNAcentral.